Long non-coding RNA from Humulus lupulus (European hop), 489 nucleotides. RefSeq lists it as uncharacterized. Lineage: Eukaryota; Viridiplantae; Streptophyta; Magnoliopsida; Rosales; Cannabaceae. The transcript is spliced from 2 exons. The record is from RefSeq and is a predicted model, not a curated record.
GAUCACAUUCAGAACCCAACUCGGAUCACUUUAUUAUUAAAACUCAUCAGAGGAAUAUCCUUAAUCAAAAGAGAGUAAGUAGUAAUGGAGCUGAAACCCUCGCUUAUGUCAGCCUUUCUGGUCAUCUUCUUGGUCAUGGCAGCAUCUAAAGAAUUAAGGGGUGAAGCAAGAGGAGCCUUUCGUUGCCCCAAAAUGAUAGAGUGCAACAGCGUGUGCCAAGGCUACCCCAACUGCUGCAUCAAUGGCCAGUGCCUUUGUCAAUCCUGCCGUACUCUUCUUCCACCGCCGCUUCCACCGUCUUGUCAAGCCAGAAAUUGCAAACAAAAUUAGAUCUUCUGUUACUUUUAGGUCUCUCUUUUUCUUUUUUCUUUCAAUUUCAACCAAAUAAUUGCUGAUCCAAAUGAAAGUGAUAUAUAAUUGAGUAGUUUUUUUUUCCCUACAAGUGUGAAUUGAGUCCGUAUAUAUUGCAGCCAUUGUUAUUAUUAUUAA